UAGGGAAUCUUCCACAAUGGACGCAAGUCUGAUGGAGCAACGCCGCGUGAGUGAAGAAGGUUUUCGGACCGUAAAGCUCUGUUGUUGGUGAAGAAGGAUAGAGGUAGUAACUGGCCUUUAUUUGACGGUAAUCAACCAGAAAGUCACGGCUAACUACGUGCCAGCAGCCGCGGUAAAUACGUAGGUGGCAAGCGUUGUCCGGAUUUAUUGGGCGUAAAGCGAGCGCAGGCGGAAGAAUAAGUCUGAUGUGAAAGCCCUCGGCUUAACCGAGGAAUUGCAUCGGAAACUGUUUUCUUGAGUGCAGAAGAGGAGAGUAGAACUCCAUGUGUAGCGGUGGAAUGCGUAGAUAUAUGGAAGAAUACCAGUGGCGAAGGCGGCUCUCUGGUCUGCAACUGACGCUGAGGCUCGAAAGCAUGGGUAGCGAACAGGAUUAGAUACCCUGGUAGUCCAUGCCGUAAACGAUGAGUGCUAAGUGUUGGGAGGCUUCCGCCUCUCAGUGCUGCAGCUAACGCAUUAAGCACUCCGCCUGGGGGAGUACGACCGCAAGGUUGAAAC
This 555-nucleotide ribosomal RNA is filed under the name uncultured bacterium. RNAcentral describes it as "partial 16S ribosomal RNA". It matches the Rfam family "Bacterial small subunit ribosomal RNA", at positions 355 to 900 of the family's 1533-position model. The record is from RNAcentral.